UACGAAGGGGGCUAGCGUUGUUCGGAAUCACUGGGCGUAAAGCGCACGUAGGCGGACUUGUUAGCCAGGGGUGAAAUCCCGGGGCUCAACCCCGGAACUGCCUUUGAUACUGCAAGUCUUGAGUCCGAGAGAGGUGAGUGGAAGUCCUAGUGUAGAGGUGAAAUUCGUAGAUAUUAGGAAGAACACCAGUGGCGAAGGCGGCUCACUGGAUCGGUACUGACGCUGAGGUGCGAAAGCGUGGGGAGCAAACAGG
RNAcentral lists this ribosomal RNA (253 nucleotides) under uncultured bacterium. RNAcentral describes it as "partial 16S ribosomal RNA". It matches the Rfam family "Bacterial small subunit ribosomal RNA", at positions 524 to 776 of the family's 1533-position model. The record is from RNAcentral.